Molecule: long non-coding RNA, 430 nt
Filed under: Dermacentor andersoni
Lineage: Eukaryota; Metazoa; Arthropoda; Arachnida; Ixodida; Ixodidae
Description: uncharacterized LOC126527226
Source: RNAcentral
GCAACAGCAUAGCAGUGAGCAACUCGGCUUUCUAAUUCGCACUGCGAAGGAGCACGAGUUCAACUCUUAAGUAACGGGCACAGUUUUGUUUUUCGUUGCCAUGUAGCAAGGGUGAAGCUGAGAAUUGGGAUGUGACCCGACAAUGAAAAUGGCAAAACAAAAUGAAAGGGUUGGAGAAAGCACAGCUACUAUGGAACUUUCAUUCCAGACCUACCUUGGGUUCAUAACGGAAUACAAUAUUGUAGUCCAUGGACGUCGGUAUAUCAGGAACGUCAAACUCCAGAUAAGACGACCAGCAACAAGCCCCGAUGUUAGGUCAUCCUGUGGGUCGCACACGCCUUCGUCCAAGGAACCGCGGGGGUCACAAUCACAAGCUGCAAAAGACCAGUGACUGAAGGGAUCAGACCCCGACCGAUCUGAACAAGCAAAA